GGAGGUGUGGGUCAAACAGUAGAGUACCAGACUGGCAAAUUGGGGGCUCUGAGUUCAAACCUCAGCACCGUCA
This 73-nucleotide transfer RNA is filed under the name Dipodomys ordii (Ord's kangaroo rat). It matches the Rfam family "tRNA". Rfam says of the family: Transfer RNA (tRNA) molecules are approximately 80 nucleotides in length. Their secondary structure includes four short double-helical elements and three loops (D, anti-codon, and T loops). Lineage: Eukaryota; Metazoa; Chordata; Mammalia; Rodentia; Heteromyidae. The record is from Rfam by way of RNAcentral.